RNAcentral lists this long non-coding RNA (1341 nucleotides) under Anas platyrhynchos platyrhynchos (common mallard). Its description in RNAcentral is "lncRNA (ENSAPLG00000017953.1)". Lineage: Eukaryota; Metazoa; Chordata; Aves; Anseriformes; Anatidae. The record is from RNAcentral.
AUCCAUACAAAGUGUACAUUAAAAUGCUUCGCAGUGCAGCAAUUUGGAAGCCGCUUGCUCAAAAGAUCAAAGGAUGGGAUCCUAUAUGGGGCACGGUCUUCUUCUCAUGCUUAUUCACAUCCCCCUGGCUGUUAGGAAGAGGCAGGGGCUCCAGGAGGGUUCUCGCAGAGCCAGUGAUGCGAAGGCACAGCCACCACCACCUCCCAGCUCCCAGACCUGCCCCGCUGCCGCCUGCGCUCUGCUUCCCUGCUGCUGGAGGCACAGGGCGGAUAAAAACCUGUGGAUCCCUUCCAGGCUAUCAGUCUGUCACCUACGGGUGGAGUUCAGUUAUCCGUAUGUGAUGUGCUCCGAUUAAGAUCGGGGAAGAGUUUUGAAAGCACAGACUUGCUGUGCUCAAAGUGCCUACAGAAAACUCCUGAGGAGCUGUGGGUCUGUGACUCAGUAUCUGGGUUCAGAUUGCAUCCAGGCCAUGGGCUUUGAUUUUUGAUUUAUUUAUUUUCAGCUGGGGUAAGGCUCAAACACAGCUUCAGCCAUAUAGCACUUAAUGCUCCGCUCUUAUAAAAUUGCAAAAACUUCAUCCAAUUUAGCUAAAUUCAUUGCAUGGUUUCUCUUAAGGAACGCAAUUUGCCGGUUACAUAAGAUUUCUGUGCAUCUAAAAAAAAGCAAAUCCAAUUGUUCCUUCCUGGUCUGCUUCCAAUAUAGACUCGUCCAGCCGGCCCCGAGAGCAGGCUGAGCUCUGGCCCCAAACCCAGCAGUGAGGAGCUGAAGUGGGAGCACUCCAGGGAAACUUUGCUGUCUGAGAGGAGGGUGCUGUGGGCAGCUCACCAUGAAGCUGGUCUUACUGGGGCCCCCAAAGGAAAAAUGCUGUGCUUAGUUUUGGUACAAUGCCUCGUCUCGUUUGCAGAGUGCAGUUGCCUUUUGUAGUAUUAGGGAUAAUUACAAUAAUUUGUUAUUCAUCAAACAGUUGCAUAUCUUGAAAAAUGUACUUGGGGUACUUCAGCAAUGCCGUAUGAGGCAGAGCAAGCGAGGCAGGGAAGGUGUCACAAGCUCCCACGGGCAGAUUACAUGUUUUCUUGAAGAUAAGAUGUGUCCCGGACAGCUACACUAUGGUGAAUCAUGCAGAACAAAUCAGACUUUUUUUUGUUUUGUUUUAAAAAGUACUUUUUAAAACUGCCUGAUUAUGUAAUAAUGCUCAGUGAUUUUUAGGGCUUUGUCCUGCAAGUUAUUGAACAAUUCCAACUUGAGAAAUAUCAAAAGUCAAUUUAUAACCAGCUACCUGGAUUUGCUGUCAAUAAUUUUGAGUAAUAGUGCUUAAAUACUAUUUUCUUGACAAUUCUAAAA